RNAcentral lists this ribosomal RNA (717 nucleotides) under uncultured bacterium. Its description in RNAcentral is "bacterial SSU rRNA". It matches the Rfam family "Bacterial small subunit ribosomal RNA", at positions 9 to 704 of the family's 1533-position model. The record is from RNAcentral.
GAGUUUGAUCCUGGCUCAGGACGAACGCUGGCGGCGGGCUUAACACAUGCAAGUCGAACGGGAACCUUUAUUUCGGUAAAGGUGAGAGUGGCAAACGGGUGAGUAACACGUAGGCAACCUGCCGACAGGAUGGGGACAACAUUCCGAAAGGAAUGCUAAUACCGAAUGAAGUCCGAGAGGGGCAUCCCUCCUGGAUGAAAGAUGGCCUCUGAACAUGCUAUCACCUGUCGAUGGGCCUGCGUCUGAUUAGCCAGUUGGCGGGGUAACGGCCCACCAAAGCGACGAUCAGUAGCCGGUCUGAGAGGAUGAACGGCCACAUUGGGACUGAGACACGGCCCAGACUCCUACGGGAGGCAGCAGUGGGGAAUCUUCCACAAUGGGCGAAAGCCUGAUGGAGCAACGCCGCGUGAGUGAAGAAGGUCUUCGGAUCGUAAAGCUCUGUUGCAGGGGACGAAAACCGGGUUUGAAAACAUUGAGCCUGGGUGACGGUACCUUGCGAGGAAGCCACGGCUAACUACGUGCCAGCAGCCGCGGUAAUACGUAGGUGGCGAGCGUUGUCCGGAAUUAUUGGGCGUAAAGGGAGCGCAGGCGGGCUGCCAAGUCCAUCUUAAAAGUGCGGGGCUCAACCCCGUGAGGGGAUGGAAACUGGCAGUCUUGAGUGCAGGAGAGGAAAGCGGAAUUCCCAGUGUAGCGGUGAAACGCGUAGAUAUUGGGAGG